This is a non-coding RNA of Tachysurus fulvidraco (yellow catfish), 426 nucleotides long. Lineage: Eukaryota; Metazoa; Chordata; Actinopteri; Siluriformes; Bagridae. The record is from the annotation of a RefSeq genome assembly.
AUGAUCUCUACAUCCCUACUGCUGCUGCUGCUGGCAGCCGUACACUGUGUUCACAGUGUUGAGCUGAUCCAGACCGGAUCCACAGUAUUAACUCCUGGUCAGUCACUGACUCUGACCUGUAAAGUGUCUGGAUAUUCAGUAACUGAUAGCAACUACUGUACAGACUGGAUACGACAACCUGCAGGAAAAACUCUGGAAUGGAUCGGAGAGAUAUGUGGUAGUGGGAGCACUGCCUACAUUGAGAAACUGAAAAGCCGGUUUCAGGUUUCCAGAGACACGUCCAGCAGCACAGUGACAUUAACAGGACAGAACAUGCAGACUGAAGACACAGCUGUGUAUUACUGCGCUCGUGAACCGCACAGUGAGGCGAAUAAACAACAUCCCUGUACAAAAACUCCUCAUUCAGUUUGACACAAUAACAGGACA